AUACUUACCUGGUAGGGGGAAUAUCACUAUCAGGAAAGUGGUUUCGCAAGAGCAAGGUUAUUCUAUUGUACUUUGGUUAGGUUUACCCAUGUGAUUUACCCAAAUAUGAGAAAUUCAACUGUAUAGUUUAUAGUAGUGUUAGAUUGCAUUUCCUCCAUUUUUGG
Molecule: small nuclear RNA, 164 nt
Organism: Protopterus annectens (West African lungfish)
Lineage: Eukaryota; Metazoa; Chordata; Ceratodontiformes; Protopteridae
Product: U1 spliceosomal RNA
Exons: 1
Source: RefSeq, a predicted model, not a curated record